AGGACGAACGCUGGCGGCGUGCCUAACACAUGCAAGUCGAGCGGGGACAUACGACGGAGUAGAAGUUUUCGGAUGGAAGCGAAGAUGUAUGUUCUAGCGGCGGACGGGUGAGUAACGCGUGAGCAACCUGUCCUUCACAGGGGGAUAACACAGCGAAAGUUGUACUAAUACCGCAUAAGACCACACUGGGACAUCCUAGAGGGGUCAAAGGAGCAAUCCGGUGAAGGGUGGGCUCGCGUCCGAUUAGAUAGUUGGUGAGGUAACGGCCCACCAAGUCGACGAUCGGUAGCCGACCUGAGAGGGUGAUCGGCCACAUUGGGACUGAGACACGGCCCAAACUCCUACGGGAGGCAGCAGUGGGGAAUAUUGGGCAAUGGGGGAAACCCUGACCCAGCAACGCCGCGUGAGGGAAGAAGGUUUUCGGAUCGUAAACCUCUGUCCUUGGUGAAGAGUGAGAGACGGUAGCCAAGGAGGAAGCCCCGGCUAACUACGUGCCAGCAGCCGC
Molecule: ribosomal RNA, 505 nt
Filed under: uncultured bacterium
Lineage: Bacteria
Description: bacterial SSU rRNA
Rfam family: Bacterial small subunit ribosomal RNA
Source: RNAcentral